RNAcentral lists this ribosomal RNA (169 nucleotides) under uncultured bacterium. RNAcentral describes it as "partial 16S ribosomal RNA". It matches the Rfam family "Bacterial small subunit ribosomal RNA", at positions 338 to 524 of the family's 1533-position model. The record is from RNAcentral.
CCUACGGGAGGCAGCAGUGGGGAAUAUUGCACAAUGGAGGAAACUCUGAUGCAGCGACGCCGCGUGAGUGAAGAAGGUCUUCGGAUCGUAAAACUCUGUCCUUGGUGAAGAUAAUGACGGUAACCAAGGAGGAAGCCCCGGCUAACUACGUGCCAGCAGCCGCGGUAAU